RNAcentral lists this ribosomal RNA (541 nucleotides) under uncultured bacterium. RNAcentral's name for it is "bacterial SSU rRNA". It matches the Rfam family "Bacterial small subunit ribosomal RNA", at positions 777 to 1329 of the family's 1533-position model. The record is from RNAcentral.
AAUAGAUACCCGGGUAGUCCACGCCGUAAACGAUGGAUGCUGGCUGUGAGAGGUAUCGACCCCUCUCGUAGCGAAGCUAACGCGUUAAGCAUCCCGCCUGUGGAGUACGGUCGCAAGACUAAAACAUAAAGGAAUUGACGGGGACCCGCACAAGCGGUGGAGCGUGUUGUUUAAUUCGAUGGUAAACGAAGAACCUUACCCAGGUUUGACAUCCUUGGGAGUUUUCCGAAAGGAAAAUGUGCUUUAUUGAACCAAGUGACAGGUGUUGCAUGGCCGUCGUCAGCUCGUGUCGUGAGAUGUUUGGUUAAGUCCAUCAACGAGCGCAACCCGUUAUGGUCUGUUGUAUUUUUCAGGCCAGACUGCCCUGGCAACAGGGAGGAAGGAGGGGAUGAUGUCAGGUCAGUAUUACCCUUACAUCUGGGGCUACAAACACGCUACAAUGGCCGGUACAAAGGGCUGCCAAGUCGCGAGACGGAGCAAAUCCCGAUCAAAGCCGGUCUCAGUUCGGAUAGCAGGCUGAAACUCGCCUGCUUGAAGCCGG